CCGCCAGGUGAAGCUAUUGUUCCUUUUAAAAUACAUAAUAAACAUUAACUAAUAAACCCUCACAGAAUCUACACAUCUGACAUAUUUACAUAGAGGUUUGUUUUGCUGAAUGUGAGAUAUUCCUUCUCUUAUUUCCUCUCCAUUUUCAAGGUUUGAGAGAGCAUCAUGGAAUUCCUUCCAAGGAUGCAAGAGGAAGAAGAAUCUCUUUCAAUUUCCAGUAGAAUUCAUUGCAGUGAGUUUAUGCCAACAAUUGAUCCCAGCACCUGUGUGCAGGACCUGCUGCUUUUGGAACCCAACUGCCAUGAUGUGAGAAGCCCAAGUCACAUGGAGAAGCUCUACCUAUACUCCCUGCCAACAGCCAACAUCAAUUGCUAGUCAUGGGAGUGAGCCAUCUUGGCCAUCCAGCCCAACUGAGGAUGACUGCAACUGCCUGAGAGAUCCCACACAACUCACAGAAAUGUUCAGUCAACUCACAGAAAUGCGAGAGACAAUAUUAAAUUUAAGUUUUCAGGUGGUUUGUUAUACAGCUGUAGGUAACAGGGAUUUUAAAAAUACCAAUUUUAUUCAUUCAAACAGGUCUUUUAUCUUUCUGUUAGUCUUAUAAGGGAAAUUCUGCUUUCUGUUUUCUCUAUUUUGCUCCUGGAAUCCUUCAGUCUGUAUUGAAGUUUGAUAGGUGACUUCUCUUAGGAAGAGCUGAAAGACACUGCUAGAUAUAUUCUCAAUUCAAAAUGAAACACUUAUUUUAGUGGAGUGAAGAUGUGAUUCCGGCAAUAUUUAAAAGUAAACCAUAAUGAGGGGUACACUAGGGGUACUACAGUUCAUUGAAAAAUGCACUCUCAUUAUCAGGUAGGUGUAGACAGAUAUUUGUGUUCAGAAAGAAAAAAAAAAAAAAACCAG
This is a non-coding RNA of Equus caballus (horse), 897 nucleotides long. NCBI's taxonomy places the organism in Eukaryota, Metazoa, Chordata, Mammalia, Perissodactyla, Equidae. The record is from RefSeq and is a predicted model, not a curated record.